RNAcentral lists this transfer RNA (71 nucleotides) under Phrynosoma platyrhinos (Desert horned lizard). Its description in RNAcentral is "tRNA-OTHER". Lineage: Eukaryota; Metazoa; Chordata; Lepidosauria; Squamata; Phrynosomatidae. The record is from RNAcentral.
GCCAGCAUAGUGUAGUGGUUUAAGCAUUGGACUAUGACUCAAUAGACCAGGGUUCAAAUCCCUGCUUGGCC